Molecule: long non-coding RNA, 1298 nt
Filed under: Coturnix japonica (Japanese quail)
Lineage: Eukaryota; Metazoa; Chordata; Aves; Galliformes; Phasianidae
Description: lncRNA (ENSCJPG00005003116.1)
Source: RNAcentral
GAGUAGAGAAGGACGAUCACCUCCCUACCCUGCUGACUCAACCCUCUCCCUGAUGGAGCCCAGGAUCCCAUUUGCUUUCCGGGCUGCCAGAGCGCACUGCUGGCUCAUGUUGAGUCCACUGCGGGCAUUGAGCACCCUGAGGCCUCCGGCCUUGAGGCUGUGUGGGAUGGGGUAGGUGUGCUACAGAAAUAGUGUUAUUUCUGUAGUGAGAAGUGAACCACCCCCCUCUGCACACCCAAAUCUUCGCACUUGGGACCACCAGUCACUAAGUGGGACGUGUUGCAUUGAAGGCAGUUCUGUAAGGUCUUGACAGCGCUGCUGUGAUGUGGGUGAGGAUGACAGAGAUAUGAAGAGAGGUUUCCAAGGCAGAGCCCACAUCCAGUUCCAUUUUCUUCACAGACUCACUGCGCUCAUUACCUGUACAGGGAAAAGAAACGUGAUCCUUUGUGACUCAGUCCAAACUCUGAAGGGAUUCUGUCCUUCCCUGUUAUGAGUACUGGGAACUGACUGUGGAGCUCAGAAAGGAAACAACUCCCUUUUUCUUUAACUGUUUCAGUUGCAAAGCGGCCUUUGGUGAGAAAAAUCAGCCCUGCCAUGACUGGGAGAGGGUCUGGUCCAAAGGGAAUCAUAUGGAGAACACCAGAGUCAGGAGUGCUGAGAUCUGCAGCGACAGAUGCACACUCACCCAUAGCAGCAGAGCUGCCUCCUGGAUGUUCUCUUACCUCGCCUCUGGUGUCUGAAUCUACAGCCGUGUCUCUUCUUUGCUGCCCUUAUCAGACUUAUCAGACCAUGAAGACCAAUUACUGGUUUUAGUCAUUUAAUUGUUUUAUGAGAUUUGGGCCACUCAGCUACUCUUGGGACAGAUCACUGUACACAUUCACGGUGACUUUCAAAUACAGGUGAGCGCAGCAUAACUUUGUUCACCUCUGGGAUCACUCCAAGACUCCGAGUGACAAUAGACGAUAGAGGAGGUACUAGAAAAUUAUCACUGGCGUAAAUCAUUCCCAUGAAGAUGAUGUGCAGGGAUUGCUAAAUGCGGAUUGUCCCCUGCUGGAGAUGAUUUACCUUUUCUGCAAUGUGCUGAGAUCUUGCAAUGAGAAGGACUAGUGGUGUGACAACAUUAUAGGAAUUCUAAUGGUAAAGACUCAGGACAAGUAGUGGUAACUUUCUAAGCAUGUCUUGUAUAACAAGGGUAGUGCUGAGAGAAGGAGUGGACUGAAAAUUAGAAGUAAAAGCUUUUUAUGCAGAUCCUGUAGUACUUUAAUAAAUAGAUGUGUUCUUUAAGGGUUAUUUUGCUG